Molecule: ribosomal RNA, 460 nt
Filed under: uncultured bacterium
Lineage: Bacteria
Description: partial 16S ribosomal RNA
Rfam family: Bacterial small subunit ribosomal RNA
Source: RNAcentral
CCUACGUGUGGCAGCAGUGAGGAAUAUUGGUCAAUGGACGAGAGUCUGAACCAGCCAAGUAGCGUGAAGGAUGACUGCCCUAUGGGUUGUAAACUUCUUUUAUAUGGGAAUAAAAUGUUCCACGUGUGGGAUUUUGUAUGUCCCAUAUGAAUAAGGAUCGGCUAACUCCGUGCCAGCAGCCGCGUUAAUACGGAGGAUCCGGGCGUUUUCAGGAUUUAUUGGGUUUAAGGGGAUCGUAGGUGGAUUGUUAAGUCAGUUGUGAAAGUUUGCGGCUCAACCGUAAAAUUGCAGUUGAAAAUGGCAGUCUUGAGUACAGUAGAGGUGGGCGGAAUGCGUGGUGUAGCGGUGAAAUGCUUAGAUAUCACGAAGAACUCCGAUUGCGAAGGCAACUCACUGGACUGCAACUGACACUGAGGCUCGAAAGUGUGGGUAUCAAACAGGAUUGGAUACCCCAGUAGUC